RNAcentral lists this unclassified non-coding RNA (4829 nucleotides) under Stylophora pistillata. Its description in RNAcentral is "uncharacterized LOC111338099, transcript variant X1". Lineage: Eukaryota; Metazoa; Cnidaria; Anthozoa; Scleractinia; Pocilloporidae. The record is from RNAcentral.
CAUCGGACAUGACGGAAGUGCUUCUAGUUGCAACACAGCUCGAUAUCUCUCAAACGUCUCAACUCUGAACGAUCCAUUUUCUCUUGAACUAGGCUACAAAGGUUGUGGGAAGAACCAAUCGACUGGCGAGCUUUUCUUGGCGGUUUUAAAUUGACGAUCUGUGAAUGAAACGUCAACUAUCAACAGAGGCAAUGAUUAUCAGUUGAGUCCCACAAGAAGAGAGGCUGGAAAUGGAUAGUGAAUAUGUGCCGGUAUCCCGAGAAUUCAAGAGUCGCGUCAUUGGAAGGGACGGAUGCGUGUUGAAUAACAUAAGGCAGAGAUCCGGAGCAAUAAUUACAUCCAGAUUUAAAGAAGAAGAAGGAUUUACUAUUAUUGGAGAUUACCAGCAGAGGGAAACUGCAAAAAGACUUAUUUUAGAAAAAGUGGAGGAAAUAGAGAUAACAGAGUGGGAGGAAGUGGAGAUUCCAACCGAAUACAAAGGUUUGGUGAUUGGAAAGCGCGGAGCUAACCUUUCCGAGAUAAACAAAGAAACAGGAGCAGUAGUAACUCGUAUAAGAAGAGAGGUGCAUAUUACAAAGGGAACCAAGCAACAAAGGGACCAUGUAAAAUUGCGUAUCAAACUCAAAGUGGCUUUAGCAAGACUCAGGGGCUUAGAAAACAACAGUGUUACAGUCUGCUGUUUCAUUGACGGUUGGAAUAUUUCCGAGAACUGUAAACUGAAGCUGGAGCGAGUUUCAGAAGAAGAUUGUUUGGUGCUCCCUAGCUCGCAGGCGCAGUUUCGAUUACAAUCUUCAAGAGAAUCCAGCCAACAGGUAUGUGUGAGUGACUCAAGUUAUUUAUCAAAACUUCAUGACGCCACGUUGGAAACAUUGCGGAAACUGAAUGCUGAAAAGGAUUCAAGCAACCAGUUAGAAGCUGACAUGUGGUGUCAUUUUGGAUUGGCCAAGAUUCGUGGGCCGAGUGAAGAGGACAUUGAGAAAGGAGACUGGAGCAUAGAUGAUGCAUCAGCAAUGUUUCAAUCGUCAGAGGAAGGAAAUCAUUGGAGGGUUGCUUUUCAAGAAGGCGUGAAUUUCAUUGAGGACAUAUUCAGGGGAUAUUAUUAUGAUAAUACACCAAAAGAAUACCUCGACUACGCCGCAAGAUAUGACUUAACUUUUCUCACUCCAUGCAGUCGUCAAGUGAGAUGUAAGGUCUGGGUGGCUAGGAAGGAUGUUAAGAAAAACUUGGAAGGCAUUCCAGUCCCAUUUAGUGACGUCAAGAACAUCCUGAAAAAAAUUCACUUUACUGAUGAAGCCACUCGGUCGCAAAGUCGAGGCUGGAUAGUUCUCCCAUCGCGAAGAUAUUUGCAAGCAGAUAUUUUAUUUCCUGGGUGCGAGUUCGAUUGCAGACUCACCAUACGUGAGCGAACAGGGAACGCCACUGAUCUAGACCAUGUACCGAAAGAAGAUGUAAUACGCGUGUUGGCAGAUUAUCUUUCUGAGAUUACUUUGAAGGAAGACGACUCCUUUGGACUAAAACUCCCCGAGAAGAAGAUCCCAGAAGGAUUUCAUUUGAUCCACAAACGGUUUUCCAAACGAAUUGUCUACAAGUCUAAGCCAGGUUUCAGUGUCAUUCUUUCGAGGGAACGAUCGUGGCGCUUUGCUGCGAAUGAUAAAGGAUCCAGAGAAUCGACUGAUCUUCACCUACAUUGCGAAGAGUGGGACAGGUUACUCAGUAGUGGGCAGUGGGAACCCGAGAUGAUUGUCAGAAAGUUACCCGAUUUUCUCGAAUUUGUCAAAGAAGUUCAAGGCUUUGUUGUUGGAAAGAUAAUGAGAAAUGGGCAAGAAAGGAUAGUUCCUCCAGAGAUUCUUGCAAGAGGACCUCUCGCUUUACAAGCCUAUUACCACGCCCUGGAUGAAGGAAAGAUCUGCGAUAGAAGAGUACCGCUGAUGUUGGUUGGACAAGACCGAUCCGGAAAGACUAGCUUGAAGAAAUCGUUAAAGGGCUUACGUUUCAACGCAAAAGAGGAGAGCACUGUGGGCAUUGAUUUAGAUCCGUACCCUUUUGAAGUGACCACGGAAAUGUGGAUGACAGGAAAAAAGAAUGAAGAGGGGAACGUUGAUCAAGAAGCUCUAUCAUUUGAACAAAAUGCAGCACGGUUGGCUGCUGACACAUUGAGGACUACAGAAACCGUCACUGAGCUAAGUAAGGGAAACAAUCUUGGGAAAGGAGAUGACUAUGAUAUUGACGGGACAGAUGACCUCUUGGAGGCAACCUCCAGUGAUUCAUCGAGUGGCUUUGUUGGAACUGAGCAAACUGAGGAUCUGUUAUCCACCGAAAGUAGCUUUGAUGAAAAUCGUUCGCCGGUGAGACAAGUUCCUGAUCCAAAAAAAAUGGAAUCCAAAGAUGACUUACCCAAUCCCACACCAGAACAGGCAUCACAUUUUGAAGAAAUUGCUACAAGAAUUGCAAGUUUACUUAAAGAAAAAGAAAAGAGAAGAGAGAAUGAGGCUGACGAUGUCUACUCAAUUCUGUGGGAUUUUGCCGGACAAUCUGUUUAUUACGUAACACAUCCCCUUUUUCUUACAGCAAGAGCCAUCUAUUUUCUUGUUUAUAAUCUCGGCUUGAAUCCAAACGCAAUAGCCGAGCCGCCAGUGAAACCCGGAGUAUACACAGAGCCCCAAGAUAGUUUUGACCAGAAAACUAACCUGGAUUACUUAGAUUUCUGGAUGAGUUCAAUAGCUUCUUUAGCAACAUAUCACGAAGGCAAGGAUAUGGAUACUGGAUUCGAGGCACUUCCAAAGCGAUUGCCUUUGGUUUUCCUGGUCUGCACUCACGCUGAUAAACCUUAUGAGGGCAGAGAUCCACACAAACUUGCAGUUGAAGUGUAUGGAACUUUGAAGGAGAGACCUUAUGGUGCCCAUUUGUAUGGUUUGUAUUGUGUAGAUAAUACAAAGUCCGGCUGUGAGUCUGAGUGUCAAGAAGUCGGACGUCUGCGAAAGGAAGUUCUCGCUGUUGCUAAGAAACUGCCACAUAUCAAGGAGGUGAUUCCAGUUAAAUGGUUAAAGUACGAAAAAACUCUCCAAAGGAGGAAAAAGGGCGGGGACAAUUUUAUUUCGCUCGAAACAGCAAAAAGCAUUGCAAACGAGGAAUGCGACAUCAGAACUGAAAACGAGUUCAAGACGCUGCUCAACUUUCUGCAUGACCUAAGAAUCUUGAUCCAUUUUGAUGACACAGCAGAACUGAAUGAUCUAGUGAUCCUCGAUUCUCAGUGGUUGAUCGACGUGUUUAAGAAGGUUAUAACUGUUAAGCCCUACCACCCUGAAGAGGAGCCCUUUUUAGAAUUAUGGAAGAAGCUUGAAAAUAAAGGAAUCUUGCAGGAACAGCUUUUGGAACAUGUUUGGGAACCUCAGUUAAUCGGCGGCAGAGAAAAUUCUGAAAAAUUAAUUGCAUUAAUGGAGAGAUUUAGCUUAUUGUGUUCGUGGCCUUCACCUGGUGGCAAGCAGUACCUGGUACCCUCCAUGCUAAAGUCACCACCACCAGAGGGUGUCUUGAAUUUGGUUUCUUCUGCACAAGUGCCUUCACUCGUUAUAAAGUUUGAGUCUGGUCAAGUCCCUGCUGGCCUUUUUCCCAGAUUAGUUUUACAGUUCUUUCAAUGGGGAAAAGAGGAGUUUUGGAGACCAGUGCGUCCGAAGCUGUUUCACAGCUUUUCCAGGUUUUACACGUCUCAAAAUUCCGGAUGCUCAGUAAUUCUUCUGUGUCACUCGUCUUAUAUCGAGGUUGUCUACCAUCGAUGUAACGAAAAUGAUGGCUUGGUAAAUGCUCUGCGAUCCAGCUUCUCCCAGAAGUCAAUGGACACGUUAUACAAUGAGAAUGAUUUAACUUGUGUCCAGGUUGUCUGUAGACAGUUGAACUUGAUUCUGGAGUGUAUGCGUAAUCAGUUUCGCUGGCUGAACAGCAUGAAAUACAAGAUGGGUAUCUUCUGUCCAAUCUUCGCAUGCUGUGAGCAGAGGGCUAUCGACUACUGUGAAAAGCAUCAAAGUUUAAAUUGCAAGCAAGAGGAAUGCCUUCACUUUUGGCCGGAGUCUGAGCUGCGCGCAUCCAAGGGAGACGCAUGUUGUUUGGAAUCUGAUUUUGCAUGUAUAAACAGAUUCAAUCCUGAGCACUGUGCUCCUUGGUUUUCAUCUCAGGAGAACUGGGUGGCACAUUAUGAUAAACUUUUGUCCCUUGAUAAAGGUGAAGGAGCUAGGACGCUGUCUCUCCCUGGUGAGGUUGUAGACACCCUUUUGUCACCUUCAAAUGAUUGCAAAGAAGUUGUACGACAACUAGAAGAAAAAUUUAAUCUGGAUGAUGCUGCCUUGCAAAACCCUGAUCCUGAUAACAAGGUACUGAUUCGUGCCCUGGCGAGAAAGGCUAACAAUGCAGACCGAAGUGAUGUAGUUGAGGAGCUGAGAAAAAUUGUGCCGGCAGGGACAACAGCUCCAAUUUUACCGGAGAGCCUUCAUGUUCGAGAAAUCCCUUUCAGUCAACUAAGAAAGCUUACUAUCACCUUAAGCGGUUGUCGCACAGGGUGACCCCCAGUACUUUAUGAGAGCUUACUUCUUCGGUGAGUGUUAUUAACUGUGAGCUGGACUACAUCUGGAUCUUUCUUCAGCCAAUGUCGAGAUGUCUUCCAGGUCAGACUGUAUGAUUAAUGGGGAGCCAAAUUUCCAUUGAUUUGACUUGAGAGGGGAUAUGCAUGGUAGGUCAUCGACCAUGACAUGGCUCUUUUAAAGCUGGAUGCGCCUCCUAUGGCGGGCCAAGAAAGAACCUUUGAGAAAUUAAAACUACCAGGAUAAAGCUUUGAUAUU